CAGCUUCCUGGGCUCAAGUGAUCCUCCCAUCUCAACCUCCCAAAUAGCUGGUUCUACAGAAUGGAGGUUAAUUAACAGACAGAGUCAUCUGGGUGGAGGACACCCUUUUGGGAUCAGCACUGAAUGUGAUGCCAUAUCCCACUCCAAACCAGCACAACUAUAAAUACUAAGCAGUGAGUGGUAUUCUGAAGACUUUGAAGGAGGAGCUAUUUCUGAAAAUAAAUUUAUUUUGUUGAAGAAUUUAACCAUUAAGCAA
Piliocolobus tephrosceles (Ugandan red Colobus) is the source of this 256-nucleotide long non-coding RNA. RefSeq lists it as uncharacterized. The transcript has 2 exons. Lineage: Eukaryota; Metazoa; Chordata; Mammalia; Primates; Cercopithecidae. The record is from RefSeq and is a predicted model, not a curated record.